AGAUAAUGCUUCAGUCUCGCCUAUACUUGGCUUAUGCAAUGCUUUCCCUCUUGCUAGGCACUUGUCGUCUCCCGGCUGGGCUCUGCUGCGAACGCCGUUUUGCCAAUUCCGGAGGUGUGUGCGGAAGUUUUGCGGCUAAGGAAUUAGGUUAGAUAAGUUACAGGUAGAAUUCCUGUACAUGGCUUCUUUGGGAGCCAUAUCUAGAAUCCAUGCGCAGUAACUCUAAUUACAUCCAGCUUCUUCAUUUUUUAUUGCAUCUGAGGUAACCAAACGGAUAUUUAUUAUGACGCCACUGCCCCUGAGUGUGAUUUUCACGUGCCUGGUUUCACGAAUCGCGGCAUGUGAUCAGGAAGUACCACGUAUUUGUGAGGAGGGCCAACUAGUUCCGCAAGCAUAUUGCGAUGGUGCUGAAAGGGAUACCAUAUGGACGUGUAAACGCGGAAGUAGUGGACGGUGUGCGUGUCCUGAUGGCCUAAUGAGAUCAAUAAGCAGAAAGUGCGUAAAAGAGGCUCAAUGUGAAGCUAACAAGGCAAAAGCUUCAAGUUCGUCACGAAAGAAGCCGCUGAAGUACACAUACGAAGUACCCGAGGAACUAACAGAUAGAGGAGAAGCCUUGCGUAAGGUUUUAGAG
This is a long non-coding RNA of Rhipicephalus sanguineus (brown dog tick), 631 nucleotides long. RefSeq lists it as uncharacterized. The record is from RefSeq and is a predicted model, not a curated record. The transcript has 4 exons. NCBI's taxonomy places the organism in Eukaryota, Metazoa, Arthropoda, Arachnida, Ixodida, Ixodidae.